Molecule: ribosomal RNA, 71 nt
Filed under: Thalassospira sp.
Lineage: Bacteria; Pseudomonadati; Pseudomonadota; Alphaproteobacteria; Rhodospirillales; Thalassospiraceae
Description: partial 16S ribosomal RNA
Rfam family: Bacterial small subunit ribosomal RNA
Source: RNAcentral
GAACAUGAGAGUUUGAUCCUGGCUCAGAACGAACGCUGGCGGCAGGCCUAACACAUGCAAGUCGGACGAGA